GACGAACGCUGGCGGCAUGCCUAAUACAUGCAAGUCGAGCGAACGGAUGAAGUGCUUGCACUUCUGACGUUAGCGGCGAACGGGUGAGUAACACGUAAGGAAUCUACCUAUAAGCGGGGGAUAACAUUCGGAAACGGGUGCUAAUACCGCAUAAUAUCUUCUUCCGCAUGGAAGAAGAUUGAAAGACGGCUCUGCUGUCACUUAUAGAUGACCUUGCGGUGCAUUAGUUAGUUGGUGGGGUAACGGCCUACCAAGACGAUGAUGCAUAGCCGACCUGAGAGGGUGAUCGGCCACAUUGGGACUGAGACACGGCCCAAACUCCUACGGGAGGCAGCAGUAGGGAACCUUCCGCAAUGGGCGAAAGCCUGACGGAGCAACGCCGCGUGAGUGAAGAAGGCCUUCGGGUCGUAAAACUCUGUUAUAAGAGAAGAACAAAUUGUAGAGUAACUGCUACGGUCUUGACGGUAUCUUAUCAGAAAGCCACGGCUAACUACGUGCCAGCCGCCGCGGUAA
This 513-nucleotide ribosomal RNA is filed under the name uncultured bacterium. RNAcentral's name for it is "partial 16S ribosomal RNA". It matches the Rfam family "Bacterial small subunit ribosomal RNA", at positions 28 to 523 of the family's 1533-position model. The record is from RNAcentral.